This 1349-nucleotide ribosomal RNA is filed under the name metagenome. RNAcentral describes it as "bacterial LSU rRNA". It matches the Rfam family "Bacterial large subunit ribosomal RNA", at positions 1564 to 2925 of the family's 2925-position model. The record is from RNAcentral.
UGAGUACGAGCUGCUACGGCAGCGAAGUGGGUGACGUCAAGCUUCCAAGAAAAGCCCUACACCCGUUAAGGCAUGAUGGCCUGUACCCGAAACCGACACAGGUGGGGUGGUAGAGAAUACCGAGGGGCGCGAGGUAACUCUCUCUAAGGAACUCGGCAAAAUGGCCCCGUAACUUCGGGAGAAGGGGUGCCACCGCAAGGUGGUCGCAGUGAAGAGGCCCAGGCGACUGUUUACCAAAAACACAGGUCUCCGCUAAGUCGCAAGACGAUGUAUGGGGGCUGACGCCUGCCCAGUGCCGGAAGGUUAAGGAAGCUGGUCAGCGCAAGCGAAGCUGGCGACUGAAGCCCCGGUGAACGGCGGCCGUAACUAUAACGGUCCUAAGGUAGCGAAAUUCCUUGUCGGGUAAGUUCCGACCCGCACGAAAGGCGUAACGAUCUGGGCGCUGUCUCGGAGAGAGGCUCGGCGAAAUAGAAUUGUCUGUGAAGAUGCGGACUACGUGCACCCGGACAGAAAGACCCUAUGAAGCUUUACUGUAGCUUGGUAUUGUGCCCGGGCUCUGAAUGCGCAGGAUAGGUGGGAGGCUUUGAUCCAUUGCUUGUGGGUGAUGGUGAGCCAACGGUGAGAUACCACUCUUUCAGAGCUAGGGUUCUAACGGUCACCCGUUAUCCGGGGACCGGACAGUAUCAGGUGGGCAGUUUACUGGGGCGGUCGCCUCCUAAAAGGUAACGGAGGCGCGCAAAGGUUCCCUCAGGCUGGUUGGAAAUCAGCCGAUGAGUGUAAAGGCAGAAGGGAGCUUGACUGUGAGACCUACAAGUCGAACAGGGACGAAAGUCGGCCUUAGUGAUCCGACGGUUCUGAGUGGAAGGGCCGUCGCUCAACGGAUAAAAGUUACUCUAAGGAUAACAGGCUGAUCUCCCCCAAGAGUUCACAUCGACGGGGAGGUUUGGCACCUCGAUGUCGGCUCAUCGCAACCUGGGGCUGAAGUCGGUCCCAAGGGUUGGGCUGUUCGCCCAUUAAGGCGGUACGCGAGCUGGGUUCAGAACGUCGUGAGACAGUUCGGUCCAUAUCCGGUGCAUGCGCAGGAAUAUUGAGAGGAUUUCUCCCUAGUACGAGAGGACCGGGUGGAACGCACCUCUGGUGUACCAGUUAUCGUGCCAACGGUAAACGCUGGGUAGCCAUGUGCGGAGUGGAUAACCGCUGAAAGCAUCUAAGUGGGAAGCCCACCUCAAGAUGAGUAUUCCCAUGGCGUUAGCCAGUAAGGUCACGGGCAGAACACCCGUUGAUAGGCUCUACGUGGAAGCCGGGUAACCGGUGAAGCGGAGGAGUACUAAUAGACCGAGGGCUUGACC